UUUAUGGAGAGUUUGAUCCUGGCUCAGGAUGAACGCUGGCGGCGUGCCUAAUACAUGCAAGUCGAGCGAACGGACGAGAAGCUUGCUUCUCUGAUGUUAGCGGCGGACGGGUGAGUAACACGUGGAUAACCUACCUAUAAGACUGGGAUAACUUCGGGAAACCGGAGCUAAUACCGGAUAAUAUUUUGAACCGCAUGGUUCAAAAGUGAAAGACGGUCUUGCUGUCACUUAUAGAUGGAUCCGCGCUGCAUUAGCUAGUUGGUAAGGUAACGGCUUACCAAGGCAACGAUGCAUAGCCGACCUGAGAGGGUGAUCGGCCACACUGGAACUGAGACACGGUCCAGACUCCUACGGGAGGCAGCAGUAGGGAAUCUUCCGCAAUGGGCGAAAGCCUGACGGAGCAACGCCGCGUGAGUGAUGAAGGUCUUCGGAUCGUAAAACUCUGUUAUUAGGGAAGAACAUAUGUGUAAGUAACUGUGCACAUCUUGACGGUACCUAAUCAGAAAGCCACGGCUAACUACGUGCCAGCAGCCGCGGUAAUACGUAGGUGGCAAGCGUUAUCCGGAAUUAUUGGGCGUAAAGCGCGCGUAGGCGGUUUUUUAAGUCUGAUGUGAAAGCCCACGGCUCAACCGUGGAGGGUCAUUGGAAACUGGAAAACUUGAGUGCAGAAGAGGAAAGUGGAAUUCCAUGUGUAGCGGUGAAAUGCGC
This 708-nucleotide ribosomal RNA is filed under the name Staphylococcus aureus. RNAcentral's name for it is "bacterial SSU rRNA". It matches the Rfam family "Bacterial small subunit ribosomal RNA", at positions 1 to 691 of the family's 1533-position model. Lineage: Bacteria; Bacillati; Bacillota; Bacilli; Caryophanales; Staphylococcaceae. The record is from RNAcentral.